Long non-coding RNA from Tympanuchus pallidicinctus (lesser prairie-chicken), 509 nucleotides. RefSeq lists it as uncharacterized. The record is from RefSeq and is a predicted model, not a curated record. The transcript has 2 exons. NCBI's taxonomy places the organism in Eukaryota, Metazoa, Chordata, Aves, Galliformes, Phasianidae.
GCAAUACUGCAGCUGAAUUCACUCUACACUCGUUGAUUAGGAAACAGAGUGUGGGACAUACGGUCUAUCUCUAGGGCUUAGACCAACUGGUUAUUGGCUGGUGCUGUUUUUCUCUAACAAGCCCCUGGAUAUAUCACUGUGGCUGCAGAGAAAUGUAGCUGAAAGAGCCUUUCACUGUCAGUAGCAAUCUGUCACUUCAUGUAUCUUACCCUAUCUCUUCCAGCACAAAAGCUUCGGAGCUGCAAGUCAGUUAGGAGAAAGGUCAUUCUGCAGGUUUGUGCUCCCAACUCCUGUGUGGUUCUCCUCCCUGAAAUAUUCCAGUGAAAUGAAUCACCCUCCAACAAUGCCAGAACUCCCCUGUUUUCAUGAACACCAGCUGAAACCUGACCUCCACAGCAUUCUAAUCUGUUUAUGACUUGGUCUGGCUCAGUGAGCCCAUUUUGGGGGGCAUUUUUUUUCUUUUUUAAACUCCUUCCUCGAUUCUAGUCCAAUAAAGCACAUCGACAGAA